UGGGGAAUUUUGGACAAUGGGCGCAAGCCUGAUCCAGCCAUGCCGCGUGCAGGAAGAAGGCCUUCGGGUUGUAAACUGCUUUUGUCAGGGAAGAAAUCCUCUGGGUUAAUACCUCGGAGGGAUGACGGUACCUGAAGAAUAAGCACCGGCUAACUACGUGCCAGCAGCCGCGGUAAUACGUAGGGUGCGAGCGUUAAUCGGAAUUACUGGGCGUAAAGCGUGCGCAGGCGGCUUUGCAAGACAGAUGUGAAAUCCCCGGGCUCAACCUGGGAACUGCAUUUGUGACUGCAAGGCUAGAGUGCGGCAGAGGGAGAUGGAAUUCCGCGUGUAGCAGUGAAAUGCGUAGAUAUGCGGAGGAACACCGAUGGCGAAGGCAAUCUCCUGGGCCUGCACUGACGCUCAUGCACGAAAGCGUGGGGAGCAAACAGG
This 429-nucleotide ribosomal RNA is filed under the name uncultured Comamonadaceae bacterium. Its description in RNAcentral is "bacterial SSU rRNA". It matches the Rfam family "Bacterial small subunit ribosomal RNA", at positions 355 to 776 of the family's 1533-position model. The record is from RNAcentral. Lineage: Bacteria; Pseudomonadati; Pseudomonadota; Betaproteobacteria; Burkholderiales; Comamonadaceae.